GCCGGCGUGGCGGAAUGGCUAACGCGCUCGUCUCGAAAACGAGUGUCCUCUGGACAUGCAGGUUCGACUCCUGCCGCCGGCG
This 82-nucleotide transfer RNA is filed under the name Nanobdellota archaeon. RNAcentral describes it as "tRNA-Ser". It matches the Rfam family "tRNA". Rfam says of the family: Transfer RNA (tRNA) molecules are approximately 80 nucleotides in length. The record is from RNAcentral. Lineage: Archaea; Nanobdellati; Nanobdellota.